AAGGGAGCGCAGGCGGUCAGGAAAGUCUGGAGUAAAAGGNUAUGGCUCAACCAUAGUGUGCUCUGGAAACUNUCUGACUUGAGUGCAGAAGGGGAGAGUGGAAUUCCAUGUGUAGCGGUGAAGUGCGUAGAUAUAUGGAGGAACNCCAGUGGCGAAAGCGGCUCUCUGGUCUGUCACUGACGCUGAGGCUCGAAAGCGUGGGUAGCGAACAGGAUUAGAUACCCUGGUAGUNCACGCCGUAAACGAUGAGUGCUAGGUGUUAGGCCCUUUCCGGGGCUUAGUGCCGGAGCUAACGCAAUAAGCACUCCGCCUGGGGAGUACGACCGCAAGGUUGAAACUCAAAGGAAUUGACGGGGGCCCGCACAAGCGGUGGAGCAUGUGGUUUAAUUCGAAGCAACGCGAAGAACCUUACCAGGUCUUGACAUCCCGAUGCUAUUCUUAGAGAUAGGAAGUUACUUCGGUACAUCGGAGACAGGUGGUGCAUGGUUGUCGUCAGCUCGUGUCGUGAGAUGUUGGGUUAAGUCCCGCAACGAGCGCAACCCUUAUUGUUAGUUGCCAUCAUUAAGUUGGGCACUCUAGCGAGACUGCCGGUAAUAAACCGGAGGAAGGUGGGGAUGACGUCAAAUCAUCAUGCCCCUUAUGACCUGGGCUACACACGUGCUACAAUGGUCGGUACAACGAGUUGCGAGCCGGUGACGGCAAGCUAAUCUCUGAAAGCCGAUCUCAGUUCGGAUUGGAGGCUGCAACUCGCCUCCAUGUAGUCGGAAUCGCUAGUAAUCGCGGAUCAGCACGCCGCGGUGAAUACGUUCCCGGGCCUUGUACACACCGCCCGUCACACCACGAGAGUUUGUAACACCCGAAGUCGGUGAGGUANCCUUUUAGGG
Molecule: ribosomal RNA, 884 nt
Filed under: uncultured bacterium
Lineage: Bacteria
Description: bacterial SSU rRNA
Rfam family: Bacterial small subunit ribosomal RNA
Source: RNAcentral